CGGCGUCGAGCGGCGGACGGGUGAGUAAUGCCUAGGAAAUUGCCCUGAUGUGGGGGAUAACCAUUGGAAACGAUGGCUAAUACCGCAUGAUGCCUACGGGCCAAAGAGGGGGACCUUCGGGCCUCUCGCGUCAGGAUAUGCCUAGGUGGGAUUAGCUAGUUGGUGAGGUAAGGGCUCACCAAGGCGACGAUCCCUAGCUGGUCUG
This 205-nucleotide ribosomal RNA is filed under the name Vibrio parahaemolyticus. RNAcentral describes it as "partial 16S ribosomal RNA". It matches the Rfam family "Bacterial small subunit ribosomal RNA", at positions 86 to 294 of the family's 1533-position model. The record is from RNAcentral. Lineage: Bacteria; Pseudomonadati; Pseudomonadota; Gammaproteobacteria; Vibrionales; Vibrionaceae.